GGCGGUAUAGUUCAGCUGGCCUAGAACAGCGGAAUCAUAAUCCGCAUGUCGGGGGUUCGAAUCCCUCUACCGUCA
RNAcentral lists this transfer RNA (75 nucleotides) under Moramonas marocensis. RNAcentral's name for it is "tRNA-Met". It matches the Rfam family "tRNA". Rfam says of the family: Transfer RNA (tRNA) molecules are approximately 80 nucleotides in length. Their secondary structure includes four short double-helical elements and three loops (D, anti-codon, and T loops). Further hydrogen bonds mediate the characteristic L-shaped molecular structure. tRNAs have two regions of fundamental functional importance: the anti-codon, which is responsible for specific mRNA codon recognition, and the 3' end, to which the tRNAs corresponding amino acid is attached (by aminoacyl-tRNA synthetases). tRNAs cope with the degeneracy of the genetic code in two manners: having more than one tRNA (with a specific anti-codon) for a particular amino acid; and 'wobble' base-pairing, i.e. permitting non-standard base-pairing at the 3rd anti-codon position. Lineage: Eukaryota; Jakobea; Jakobida; Moramonadidae. The record is from RNAcentral.